UCAUGCAUAUAACAAGCUUUAUCACCUCAUAUUAUUCAUAGAAAUACACUUAAAAUACAUAAAUGCAUGUUUUUUUCUUCAUUUUAUAUCUAUUUCUAUUGGGUAUUUUGACUUUUUCAGGUAGAAGAAUGUCUGCGACUAAGCCGAGGGCCACUUGAUAAGGGUUGUUGAUGGUAAAACAGGUAGAAGAAUGUCUGCGACUAAGCCGAGGGCCACUUGAUAAGGGUUGUUGAUGGUAAAACAGGUAGAAGAAUGUCUGCGACUAAGCCGAGGGCCACUUGAUAAGGGUUGUUGAUGGUAAAACAGGUAGAAGAAUGUCUGCGACUAAGCCGAGGGCCACUUGAUAAGGGUUGUUGAUGGUAAAACAGGUAGAAGAAUGUCUGCGACUAAGCCGAGGGCCACUUGAUAAGGGUUGUUG
Dreissena polymorpha is the source of this 418-nucleotide long non-coding RNA. RefSeq lists it as uncharacterized. Lineage: Eukaryota; Metazoa; Mollusca; Bivalvia; Myida; Dreissenidae. The record is from RefSeq and is a predicted model, not a curated record. The transcript has 5 exons.